AGCGGGGUGGAGCAGUAGUAGCUCGUCAGGCUCAUAACCUGAAGGUCGCGGGUGCAAAUCCCGCCCCCGCAACAA
This 75-nucleotide transfer RNA is filed under the name Candidatus Adlerbacteria bacterium RIFCSPHIGHO2_01_FULL_54_23. RNAcentral describes it as "tRNA-Met". It matches the Rfam family "tRNA". Rfam says of the family: Transfer RNA (tRNA) molecules are approximately 80 nucleotides in length. Their secondary structure includes four short double-helical elements and three loops (D, anti-codon, and T loops). Further hydrogen bonds mediate the characteristic L-shaped molecular structure. tRNAs have two regions of fundamental functional importance: the anti-codon, which is responsible for specific mRNA codon recognition, and the 3' end, to which the tRNAs corresponding amino acid is attached (by aminoacyl-tRNA synthetases). tRNAs cope with the degeneracy of the genetic code in two manners: having more than one tRNA (with a specific anti-codon) for a particular amino acid; and 'wobble' base-pairing, i.e. permitting non-standard base-pairing at the 3rd anti-codon position. RNAcentral also lists the same sequence under 1 other name. The record is from RNAcentral. Lineage: Bacteria; Candidatus Adleribacteriota.